CUAGAUUCUACCUCCUUACCUUUGAGGAAUCAUAAUAAGGGAGAUUAAAUCAUGUAGAUCUGGGUCUGCCAAAGAAUCCAUUCUACAAAACUUUUAGCAGCCUUCAUCUGUCUGGAUUGAGAAUCCCUUCCAGGCAGUGUUGCCUCAUCAGACAAUCGUCUGGUCCGGCUGCAGUCUGGCUGUCCUGCCUCACUUUCUUCUAUUUAGUCCCGUGUUUUCUGUGCCUCUC
Molecule: long non-coding RNA, 229 nt
Filed under: Bos taurus (domestic cattle)
Lineage: Eukaryota; Metazoa; Chordata; Mammalia; Artiodactyla; Bovidae
Description: long non-coding RNA NONBTAT006567
Source: RNAcentral